AAGGGCACCACAAGAACGCGUGGAGCAUGUGGCUUAAUUUGACUCAACGCGGGAAAUCUUACCGGGUCCGGACACAUUGAGGAUUGACAGAUAUAUUCACUUUUUAGUGGGAAAGAUGCUAGUUCUUUCAUGAUUAUGUGAUAGGUGGUGCAUGGCCGUUCUUAGUUCGUGGAGUGAUCUGUCUGCUUAAUUGCGUUUCACUUAAAAAUAUAUUUUAUUCACCCAGUGAAUAAUUUAUAAAAUAGAAAGCAACGAACGUGAUCGUUGUCUUUUAUUGUGUGUACUUGAUAAACACACACAAAUAUAUAUUAAAUUAAAGAGACCGCUGUAUUUUCUUUUAAACCAGAGGAAGGUAACGGCAAUAACAGGUCUGUGAUGCCCUUAGAUGUUCCGGGCUGCACACGUGCUACAAUAAUUAUUGUAGCGUGCAUCUUACAUAAAAAGUAUAUAUUUUUAUAUACAAAAAAAUCCUACAUCGAGAGUUUCUCAGUGGGUAAUCAAUUAGAAGUAAUGUAUUUCCAACCCCUCGUAUGUGUUUUUUACACAUAAAAUAAUAUUAUCACUCUUUUUUUGAGUGCAUAAUAUAUUUUUGUCUCAUAUACUAUAUCAAUUUAUAGUGGGGAUAGACCAUUGUUAAUUAUUGGUCUCGGUCUUAACUAGGAAUGCCUUGUACGGGUAUAUGGUUCAAUAAACCACCCGGAAUACGUCCCUGCCCUUUGUACACACCGCCCGUCGCUCUUACCGAUGAACUCUUCUAUGAGUUUAAGGGAUUGCUAUAGAACACAAAGCAGGAAAUAAAAAACUUAAACAAAUAGUGUGGUUUAAAGGAAAGAGAAGUCGUAACAAGGCAUCNGUAGGUGAACCU
This 865-nucleotide ribosomal RNA is filed under the name Elphidium sp. S14. RNAcentral's name for it is "SSU rRNA". It matches the Rfam family "Eukaryotic small subunit ribosomal RNA", at positions 1160 to 1816 of the family's 1831-position model. Lineage: Eukaryota; Foraminifera; Rotaliida; Elphidiidae. The record is from RNAcentral.